Molecule: long non-coding RNA, 209 nt
Filed under: Elaeis guineensis (African oil palm)
Lineage: Eukaryota; Viridiplantae; Streptophyta; Magnoliopsida; Arecales; Arecaceae
Description: long non-coding RNA (EGUI_LNC041533)
Source: RNAcentral
UCAACCACCUGGAGGAUUACAGAGCCCUCAUGAUGCUGUAGGGGGCAUCCGAUAUCCUCCUCUACCAAGCUUUCUCGAUGACUCAUAAGAGAAGCAUGAGAGUCUAGUUUUCAAGCAUUCUGCAAGGAUCUACUUACUCCUUCGAGCAAAUAGAAAAGUUGUUCGUUGACCACUUUGGCAGUCGGAGGCCGCAGCCAUAGAACAGUGAU